ACAGGGACUACACGCCCGGCUAAUAUUUUUUCUUUGUAUUUUUAAAUAGAGACGGGGUUUCACCGUCUUAGCCAGGAUGGUCUUGAUCUCCUGACCUUGUGAUCCACCCGCCUCGGCCUCCCAAAGUGCUGGGAUUACAGGCGUGAGCCACCGCGCCCGGCCGAUCUGAUGAUUUUAUAAGGGGCACUUCCCCCUUCUCUCAGCAAUUCUCCUUGCUGCCUUGUGAAGAAGGUACUCUGCUUCCCCUUCACCUUCCGCCAUGAUUGUGAGUUUCCUUAGGCCUCCCAGCCUUGCUGAACUAUGCAGGAGGCAAAAAGGGGGAGGGCCCCAGAGAAUCUCCCACCGGCCUACACACUGCAAGAAUGGGUUGGAGCCACGGGAAGUUUGAGCCAUUUGCAGCAGGGAGGAGCUGCGCCUCUUCAGUUCCUGUGCUGUGGCCUGUUAUUCAAUCUGUGAGGUGGGAGCGCUGGCAGGAAUCCUUCUCAUUUUGCUAAGAGUUUUUGUUGUUGUUGUUUUGUUUUUUUCUUUUCGUCCAAUAAAUUCCGUUCCUGUCACCUUUCAAUGUGUCCACAUGCCUAACUUUUCCUGGUUGUGACACAAGAACCCAGAUUUAGCUGAACUAAGGAACAGAAAUUCUGCAACACUAAUCUCCCUUUUAGAAUAUAUUUUAACAGAAAGGGGUAUGGGGUUGUUUCAUGUCAAGAAGCACAUUCUUUUAAUUUUAUUGUUAGGGCAGAAUUAGUCUAGUGUAACCUUUAUAGGUCAGAAUGUAAGAAUGACA
RNAcentral lists this long non-coding RNA (781 nucleotides) under Homo sapiens (human). RNAcentral's name for it is "HSALNT0210445". The record is from RNAcentral. Lineage: Eukaryota; Metazoa; Chordata; Mammalia; Primates; Hominidae.